GCCGAAGUGGUGGAACUGGUAGACACGCUAGGUUCAGGGUCUAGUGGGGGUUGCCCCGUAGGAGUUCGAGUCUCCUCUUCGGCACCA
Molecule: transfer RNA, 87 nt
Filed under: Deltaproteobacteria bacterium
Lineage: Bacteria; Pseudomonadati; Myxococcota; Myxococcia
Description: tRNA-Leu
Rfam family: tRNA
About the family: Transfer RNA (tRNA) molecules are approximately 80 nucleotides in length. Their secondary structure includes four short double-helical elements and three loops (D, anti-codon, and T loops).
Source: RNAcentral